This 497-nucleotide ribosomal RNA is filed under the name uncultured bacterium. Its description in RNAcentral is "partial 16S ribosomal RNA". It matches the Rfam family "Bacterial small subunit ribosomal RNA", at positions 28 to 507 of the family's 1533-position model. The record is from RNAcentral.
GAUGAACGCUGGCGGCGUGCCUAAUACAUGCAAGUCGAGCGAACGGACGAGAAGCUUGCUUUUCUGAUGUUAGCGGCGGACGGGUGAGUAACACGUGGAUAACCUACCUAUAAGACUGGGAUAACUUCGGGAAACCGGAGCUAAUACCGGAUAAUAUUUUGAACCGCAUGGUUCAAAAGUGAAAGACGUUCUUGCUGUCACUUAUAGAUGGAUCCGCGCUGCAUUAGCUAGUUGGUAAGGUAACGGCUUACCAAGGCAACGAUGCAUAGCCGACCUGAGAGGGUGAUCGGCCAAACUGGAACUGAGACACGGUCAAGACGCCUAAGGGAGGCAGCAGAAGGGAAUAUUCCGCAAUGGGCGAAAGCAUGACGGAGCAAAGCCGCGUGAGUGAUGAAGGACUUCGGAUCGUAAAACUCUGUUAUUAGGGAAGAAAAUAUGUGUAAGUAAAUGUGCACAGAUUGACGGUACCUAAUCAGAAAGCAACGGCUAACUACGUG